This 59-nucleotide transfer RNA is filed under the name Ictidomys tridecemlineatus (thirteen-lined ground squirrel). Its description in RNAcentral is "Spermophilus tridecemlineatus (thirteen-lined ground squirrel) tRNA". It matches the Rfam family "tRNA", at positions 7 to 64 of the family's 71-position model. Rfam says of the family: Transfer RNA (tRNA) molecules are approximately 80 nucleotides in length. Their secondary structure includes four short double-helical elements and three loops (D, anti-codon, and T loops). Further hydrogen bonds mediate the characteristic L-shaped molecular structure. tRNAs have two regions of fundamental functional importance: the anti-codon, which is responsible for specific mRNA codon recognition, and the 3' end, to which the tRNAs corresponding amino acid is attached (by aminoacyl-tRNA synthetases). tRNAs cope with the degeneracy of the genetic code in two manners: having more than one tRNA (with a specific anti-codon) for a particular amino acid; and 'wobble' base-pairing, i.e. permitting non-standard base-pairing at the 3rd anti-codon position. The record is from Rfam by way of RNAcentral. Lineage: Eukaryota; Metazoa; Chordata; Mammalia; Rodentia; Sciuridae.
GUAGCUCAGGGAUAGAGCUCUUGCCUGGCAAGUGUGAGGCCCUGGGUUCAAUCCCCAGC